Molecule: non-coding RNA, 960 nt
Organism: Caretta caretta (loggerhead turtle)
Lineage: Eukaryota; Metazoa; Chordata; Testudines; Cheloniidae
Source: RefSeq, a predicted model, not a curated record
CACAAGGUUGCUGGUUCAAUACCACUGCCUCCCUGAAGAGGAGACAGGGAUUCAAGUGGGAACUCUUUAGGUUUUUUCCUCUUGCCACUGUUCCACGCCAAUUGAAUAGCGACUGGGCCAAAGGCAAAACAAGAAGCCCUCUACGCUACAGCGGUUAGGCUACUCCCCUGGGAAACGCAAGGUUGCUGGUUCAAUACCACUGCCUCCCUGAAGAGGAGACAGGGAGCGAACUGGGAGCUCUUUUGGUCUUUCUUGUCGCUGUUCCAAGUCAACUGAAUAGUAAUUGGGCCAAAGGAAAAGCAAGAAGCCCUCUACGCUACAGCGGUUAGGCUACUCCCCUGGGAAACUCAAGGUGGCUGGUUCAAUACCAACACCUCCCUGAAGAGAAGACAAGGACUCAAUGGGGAACUCUUUAGGUUUUUCCUCUUGCCGCUGUUCCACGCCAAUUGAAUAGCGACUGGGCCAAAGGCAAAGCAAGAAGCCCUCUACGCUACAGCGGUUAGGCUACUCCCCUGGGAAACUCAAGGUUGCUGGUUCAAUACCACUGCCUCCCUGAAGAGGAGACAGGGACUCAAUGGGGAACUCUUUAGGUUUUUUCCUCUUGCCGCUGUUCCACGCCAAUUGAAUAGCGACUGGGCCAAAGGCAAAGCAAGAAGCCCUCUACGCUACAGCGGUUAGGCUACUCCCCUGGGAAACUCAAGGUUGCUGGUUCAAUACCACUGCCUCCCUGAAGAAGAGACAGAGAGCGAACUGGGAGCUCUUUUGGUCUUUCCUCUUGUCGCUGUUCCAAGUCAACUGAAUAGUAAUUGGGCCAAAGGAAAAGCAAGAAGCCCUCUACGCUACAGCGGUUAGGCUACUCCCCUGGGAAACUCAAGGUUGCUGGUUCAAUACCACUGCCUCCCUGAAGAGGAGACAGGGAGCGAACUGGGAGCUCUUUUGGUCUUUCUUGUCGCUGUUCCA